Molecule: ribosomal RNA, 1703 nt
Filed under: Klebsiella pneumoniae
Lineage: Bacteria; Pseudomonadati; Pseudomonadota; Gammaproteobacteria; Enterobacterales; Enterobacteriaceae
Description: partial 23S ribosomal RNA
Rfam family: Bacterial large subunit ribosomal RNA
Source: RNAcentral
CGGGGCUAAACCAUGCACCGAAGCUGCGGCAGCGACACUAUGUGUUGUUGGGUAGGGGAGCGUUCUGUAAGCCUGCGAAGGUGACCUGUGAGGGUUGCUGGAGGUAUCAGAAGUGCGAAUGCUGACAUAAGUAACGAUAAAGCGGGUGAAAAGCCCGCUCGCCGGAAGACCAAGGGUUCCUGUCCAACGUUAAUCGGGGCAGGGUGAGUCGACCCCUAAGGCGAGGCCGAAAGGCGUAGUCGAUGGGAAACAGGUUAAUAUUCCUGUACUUGGUGUUACUGCGAAGGGGGGACGGAGAAGGCUAUGUUAGCCGGGCGACGGUUGUCCCGGUUUAAGCAUGUAGGCUGAUUGNNNNNNNNNNCUGUACUUGGUGUUACUGCGAAGGGGGGACGGAGAAGGCUAUGUUAGCCGGGCGACGGUUGUCCCGGUUUAAGCAUGUAGGCUGGUUAUCCAGGCAAAUCCGGAUAAUCAAGGCUGAGGUGUGAUGACGAGGCACUACGGUGCUGAAGUAACAAAUGCCCUGCUUCCAGGAAAAGCCUCUAAGCAUCAGGUAACAUCAAAUCGUACCCCAAACCGACACAGGUGGUCAGGGAGAGAAUACCAAGGCGCUUGAGAGAACUCGGGUGAAGGAACUAGGCAAAAUGGUGCCGUAACUUCGGGAGAAGGCACGCUGGUGUGUAGGUGAAGCCCCUGCGGGNNNNNNNNNNAGGCGCUUGAGAGAACUCGGGUGAAGGAACUAGGCAAAAUGGUGCCGUAACUUCGGGAGAAGGCACGCUGGUGUGUAGGUGAAGUCCCUGCGGAUGGAGCUGAGACCAGUCGAAGAUACCAGCUGGCUGCAACUGUUUAUUAAAAACACAGCACUGUGCAAACACGAAAGUGGACGUAUACGGUGUGACGCCUGCCCGGUGCCGGAAGGUUAAUUGAUGGGGUUAUCCGUAAGGAGAAGCUCUUGAUCGAAGCCCCGGUAAACGGCGGCCGUAACUAUAACGGUCCUAAGGUAGCGAAAUUCCUUGUCGGGUAAGUUCCGACCUGCACGAAUGGCGUAAUGAUGGCCAGGCUGUCUCCACCCGAGACUCAGUGAAAUUGAACUCGCUGUGAAGAUGCAGUGUACCCGCGGCAAGACGGAAAGACCCCGUGAACCUUUACUAUAGCUUGACACUGAACAUUGAGCCUUGAUGUGUAGGAUAGGUGGGAGGCUUUGAAGCGUGGACGCCAGUCUGCGUGGAGCCAACCUUGAAAUACCACCCUUUAAUGUUUGAUGUUCUAACGUUGGCCCCUGACCGGGGUUGCGGACAGUGUCUGGUGGGUAGUUUGACUGGGGCGGUCUCCUCCCAAAGCGUAACGGAGGAGCACGAAGGUUAGCUAAUCCUGGUCGGACAUCAGGAGGUUAGUGCAAUGGCAUAAGCUAGCUUGACUGCGAGCGUGACGGCGCGAGCAGGUGCGAAAGCAGGUCAUAGUGAUCCGGUGGUUCUGAAUGGAAGGGCCAUCGCUCAACGGAUAAAAGGUACUCCGGGGAUAACAGGCUGAUACCGCCCAAGAGUUCAUAUCGACGGCGGUGUUUGGCACCUCGAUGUCGGCUCAUCACAUCCUGGGGCUGAAGUAGGUCCCAAGGGUAUGGCUGUUCGCCAUUUAAAGUGGUACGCGAGCUGGGUUUAGAACGUCGUGAGACAGUUCGGUCCCUAUCUGCCGUGGGCGCUGGAGAA